Long non-coding RNA from Myotis davidii, 109 nucleotides. RefSeq lists it as uncharacterized. The transcript has 4 exons. The record is from RefSeq and is a predicted model, not a curated record. NCBI's taxonomy places the organism in Eukaryota, Metazoa, Chordata, Mammalia, Chiroptera, Vespertilionidae.
CUCUAGGUUGUGUGGAGGGAGACAGUUUUAAUCAGUCAAAUGUGGUUGUGUGGAGGGAGACAAUGUUAAUCAGCUUAACAAUAACCCACAACCGUCGGACCAACUGCAA